Molecule: long non-coding RNA, 2214 nt
Organism: Phymastichus coffea
Lineage: Eukaryota; Metazoa; Arthropoda; Insecta; Hymenoptera; Eulophidae
Exons: 5
Source: RefSeq, a predicted model, not a curated record
CCUUUUUUAAAAGAUAUGUGAUAGGUGACAACUCGCGCGAGGCGAGUUUGUCCCGUUGGAAGGCUCUUUUAACAGCCGAGCGGCCUUGGACUCGGGCGGUAGUCAGGCUUUCGAGCACCCUGGCCCAUUCGCGUUUCAAUAAUAAAUUUACGUUAAUUAUAAGUUGACACUCAAUAUCGUUCUUGUAAAACAAAUAAUUAAACGUUUAUAACGUUUUUUGGUUAUUUGUUUUAAGCAAAUUCGUAAUGGCUACUCUCUCCGAUAUAGCGGGGAAGCAUAUGAAUACACUUAAACUUGUUUUACAAUCAUAAUAUUUAUUCUAAUUUCUUUCGCAACAUAAGUAGGUUGAACAAAAUAGUAGUAGCAUAUAAAUUCGCAGACGCGUAAUUUUUGUCUCGCGCUGUCUAGGAUUUUUCCCGUUACAUAAAAUUAUAAUAGUAUUACUUACUAUAUAUUAGUACAAUCAAUGCAAUUUGGUUCAAGUUAUUAUUUGGUUUGUGAUAUGGCCAAUCACCUUUCCGUUUUAUCUGGUCAAAUUCAAUCGGUCCAAUGAGUUUUUACUAUGGUGUAGUAAUGUGCAGGACAAUGAUAGUCGCUAUAACUUUAUUUCUCUAGUAUCCUCCUGAUCCGACAAUGUAACAACACGCAGGAAAAAAAUGAUUCCCGUAAUUUUCUAUUUAUACAAAAUUAUUAAAACAAUCGUGCUUGAUACUUCUAAUACACUCAGACUUCUAUUACAGUUUUAAUUUCCGUAGAAAAAUAUGCGGCCUUCUUAAUUGAGCGCUCGCUUCUAACUGACUGAUUCCGCCUGCUCUGCCUUCGCUGGUUUAUUAUAUAGCCUUUGUCCUUACCAUGCCGUCUCUCUCCGAAGCGUAUACGCUUCGGAUGUUUUCGCUUCUCGUGGCGGGUCGUCUUACCUAGCUAAGCACGCGGACUGCAGCGUGCAGUCCCAGCAUGCCGGCUCAGCGUGAAUCAGCCUCCGCCGCACAUUCCCACCAAGUCGCGCACAUGAGUAGCGUCAGCUAUACUAUGUCCGAACGGAAAUCUCGGGUCCGAAAUAUUAUUAAGCAAAAUACAAUUAUAAUCCAAUGAAGUGUCACGUAACAAUAUGUGACAGUGGAGGACAGAUUUUCCUUUAUAUUUAUUCUGAAUAUUUUCUUAAUAUUGUAAAUAUUUCUUACAUAUUCAGGAUGUUACAUAUGUAGCUUCUGACAUUAAUACAAAAUUGAAAGACCGCCAGAUUAGGAAUUUAGCUGCAGACAAGAAGGAAUUAGAAAAAAAAACAAAAGCUUGAAGGAAGAAAAUAAGAAAUUAAAAAGUAAAAUAUUGGAGUUGCAAUCUAAAAAUGAGAAAUGGGAAGAAAAUACUCAAGCAGAUAUAAAAAAAAUUCUUGCGUCAGACGGAAUGCUGGACGUUCCAGUGCCAUUUGAUGCAUUUCAAUAUGAUUGUACUUUUAGAACAAAAGAAAGCUAUUGCAGAUUAUGGACAAUCAAUGGAUCCAAAGCUCAACCACAUGCCCUGUGGUUAUGUAGAAAAAGAUAGACAAAUUCCAACUCUCCUUCUACAUUUGUUGGCAGUGUAUUGUUGGUAGUUUUUGGGUCUGAGGUUCUGAAAAAAAGUACGAUCACAGGUCGAAUAAGUAACAGAACUAUUGGAAAAAACAGCAAGAAAGAAAAGAAUGAAGAACAAAAUGAAAAGAAUGCUGAUUCUGCAGAAGGACCAUCAAAGUUAGAUGCAAAAUUAUUGAAUGCUUGCAAAGAGUAUUAUGAUCAUUGGCUAGAAUUCCAUUACGAAAAACAGUUAUCAAAAACCAAAUUAAGAGAGUAUGAUAGAGCAUGCGAAAUUAGGAAUUUUCGAGACUAUGCGACGCACAAAAUUUCUAGUUUGAAGAAAUCUUCUUCAAAAAAAUUGAAGAAUAUUAACGAUGACAUUGAUCCAUUGGCUUUGGGUGAAUUAGAGGGAAUGGAGAAUCAUAAUACCAGCCAGAGUAAUGACUUGCAUCAAUUAGACACUGAUGUGCAGGCCUCGAACGAUACCGAUGAAACCUUUUUUGAUGAGUCGAUUUUAGAAUCGUCUUCUGAUGAAGAUAUAUUUAAUUAGAGUAUUAAUAUUUAUAUUAUCUUAAUUGAAGUUUAAUUUUAGUUUAUUUAAUUAUUUAGUUAAGUAUUCAUGGUAUAUUCAUAUAUCAUCACAAUUGAAGUUUUUGUAAAGGUG